This is a long non-coding RNA of Mauremys mutica (yellowpond turtle), 546 nucleotides long. RefSeq lists it as uncharacterized. NCBI's taxonomy places the organism in Eukaryota, Metazoa, Chordata, Testudines, Geoemydidae. The transcript is spliced from 3 exons. The record is from RefSeq and is a predicted model, not a curated record.
UUGUGGAAAGGACCCUUGUGGCGUCUCAUGAGGGGAAGGGGGAGAAAAUAACAGGGGGGCCCUACAGGACAGGAGUCCUGGCAGGUGAAUUCUAGCACUAAUGGGAUACUGAAUAACUAGCAUCCUCCUGACAAACACUUGUCGUUUGGAUUGCUCGGAUUUGCUGCGCUUGCCUGGGAAAGAUGCUGAUGGAGUGAAGCGAAAAGAGAGACGCCAACAGGAUUGCCAGACAGCCAGGCUGGGGAGGAGAGGUAAUUGGAUAGGGCUCAGCUGGAGGGAGUUACUCCAGGAGGACGGCUACAAAAGGAUGCAGCAAAAAGUGGUACUCAUCAGAUCCUCCUGACUGUUGCAUCUAAGCACCCACUGCCAUACCAUCAUGACCAUGCAGGAGAUUUUUGGGCAGACAUGCCCUCUGCUGCUGUCACAAUGAAUACGUGUCUUAAAGGCACUAAGAUACCUAAGAGAUUUUUGUUUUCUUUUGAACAAAAAGGCUUUAUCAGAAAGUUUCAAACAUUCCAGAAAGGGCGUGAAUGCAACAAUCAAAUA